Molecule: small nuclear RNA, 94 nt
Organism: Panthera leo (lion)
Lineage: Eukaryota; Metazoa; Chordata; Mammalia; Carnivora; Felidae
Source: Ensembl
GUGCUCUCUUCGCCAGCACAUAUACUAAAACUGGAAUAACAUAGAGAAGGUUAGCAUGGUCCCUGUGCAAAUUCAUGACCCAUUCCAUAUUUUU